Long non-coding RNA from Oxyura jamaicensis (ruddy duck), 695 nucleotides. RefSeq lists it as uncharacterized. The record is from RefSeq and is a predicted model, not a curated record. NCBI's taxonomy places the organism in Eukaryota, Metazoa, Chordata, Aves, Anseriformes, Anatidae. The transcript is spliced from 3 exons.
CUGCAUGCCAUCAGGCAGCUGGGGACUUUGCGAGGCCCCCAGCCUAGUUCAUUUUCUUCUCACUGUACUGAUUUUGCAGGCUUCCCAGGGAGCCCCACAGACGAAGGCUGGGCCCCAGGGCCCGCCUGAAAAUCAUCGCGCAGCUGCAAGAGGCCCUGGCCCUGCGUGCUGUCCUCCUCCUGCUCCUUGUGCUGACUGCCCUGAUCUCCCAACAUCUCUCCAAGGCCAAGGCCACCUCCUCCCAGCUGGGCAGGGUGAGGCUGAGGAGGAGGCUGGCGGCAGACCAGGGGAGAUACUUGGAUCAUGCGGGGAAAGCCUCUCUUCACACACGGGAGAGAAAAGGCUCCAACGAGUUGAUCCAACGUGCCCGCCGGUCCUGGCUGGCAGACUACCUGGGAGACUUGUGGUCUCACCUCUACGAGAACAUCCCACGGGCAGUCCUGUACGUCUUCCCCGUCACCCUGCUGAUCCUGCUCCUCCUCUGCUGCCUCACGGUAGCUUUGGACUGAGGUGUGCCGGGGAACUCAGAGAAGCAGUGCAGAAAGGUGCGGAGCCUUCAUGGAGUGCAGCUCAAAGAAACCCCCAAACUGCAGGAACCCAGAGGUGAUGUGGCAAGGCCAGGAGCAGAACCACUUUCUUCUUCCUUUCAGCUUAUUUUAAAGAAGGAAAAAAUCUCCCAGAAUGAUUUUCCCAUC